AGAAGGGAGUAGAAAAGGAGUACUACUUCCGGACGAUAGCAAAAUAAAAGCGUUUCCAGGACCAGGGUAGUUGCUGUGUUGUGCCAAAAAGUGAUCCUCUGCCUAGAACCGAUCAGCAGCCACAUCCACAGACUGAACAUAAUCCUCGAAGGCAGUGAUGGCUUCCUCCAGCAGAUCCGUACCCACUUCAUCAUCCUCCACAACUCAUCCUAUCUGAAGCUUCUUGAUGCUCUGUGCAUUGGAUUACACCCAAUCUGGCUGUUUUCAUCAACUGAAAUUGCUUUAAAGGACCAAUUCAACUUCUAUGAUGGAGUUUUACCCCUGACAAAUGACUCAAUUUAAUGACUCAAUUUAAUUCAUGAGGAUGAUAUUUUUCAGAUCAUAGCCCACAAGAUGAAUGCAAAGGAGACAUUUUAUGAUGAACUGUGGUUUAUAUGUAGUGUGGUUUGCCAUCGGUUGAUUGGAAUGAUCAGAGAUUUUGUACUAAUAUAACAGUCAUGUCACUGGUAGUCUGAGUGAGAAGGCCUGAUUUAGAUUGAAUAGUUUAACCUGCAUUCCACAUAACUGGGUGCCCUUUAUUCCUAUGGCCGUACACUGAUGUGUAGGGUUAGGGUUAGAAUUUUUGGUCCCUUAAAAAAGUGGAGGGCACAUAUAAAAUGUGUUGUAAUUCCUACACUGUUCACCUGAUUUUAAUGUGAAUACCCUCAAAUUAAAGCUGAAAGUCUGCACUUUAA
Long non-coding RNA from Acanthochromis polyacanthus (spiny chromis), 734 nucleotides. RefSeq lists it as uncharacterized. NCBI's taxonomy places the organism in Eukaryota, Metazoa, Chordata, Actinopteri, Pomacentridae. The record is from RefSeq and is a predicted model, not a curated record. The transcript is spliced from 2 exons.